This is a non-coding RNA of Pelobates cultripes (western spadefoot toad), 289 nucleotides long. The record is from the annotation of a GenBank genome assembly. Lineage: Eukaryota; Metazoa; Chordata; Amphibia; Anura; Pelobatidae.
AGUAAAGUAUUUUUUUGUUAAUCGGGUGGGGAGGGCAGUGAAUCUAAAAUUACAUAACACUAUAGCGUUGGAAAUACAUGCUUGGGCCCAGGGAGCUUAUAGUCUACUUCUUAGGCUGUGCAGACCACAACAAUGCUCUGAUACUUAAUGUAGCACCUGAAUGGAUGGCGCAAAAGAGUAGUCUGCACCCACCAGUGAUGUAGAUCUCAUGAUCCACCUAAUGUACAACCAGGGAUAAUCAUUCCUCACUCCCUGGCACAAGGUAAGCAAGAGGGAAAGGGGAAUGAAC